AACUGGGCAUCUGUGGACACGGCGUAGUUCACUCAGUCUUCCCCACAGUUCACCCCGUUUAAGGCAUUGAAGCAGAACUUGAAUGUGCAAGCCAAAGUCAGCAGGAGCCAGAGAGUGCAGGAUGUUGCUGUGAAUUUGGCCAAAACUGACUGGUCUGGCAUCAAAUAACUUGAGCCGCAUUCCCAGCCUUGGUGCCCUUGGCACUACAGGAGUAAUGCCAAAGCUGACUUGACGGACAGCCCGACUCUCUGCCCGCUGGAGGCAGGGCACAGGGCUUCCGUUUCCCGGGAGGGCUCAGGGAGGACUGGGGUCUCCGUGUCCAGUCAAGAUUUCUGGAAUUGACAACACUUGACGGCCAGUGUGUCCUCUUCUCCUUCUGGGUGACGUGGAGUGCUUGCAUGAGCUGAGAUAGGUGUCACUGUGGGGGAACCGAAUCACAGGGCACAAAGCUGGGUCCCCCCAAGAAGGGCUGGAGCUGGGCAAGAAGGGGUCUGCUGGUUCAGGGCUUGAGCUCCAGCCACGCUGCCCUCUAGGCUCCGCCUUUCCUAGCUGGCAUGAG
This 559-nucleotide long non-coding RNA is filed under the name Homo sapiens (human). RNAcentral describes it as "HSALNT0083097". The record is from RNAcentral. Lineage: Eukaryota; Metazoa; Chordata; Mammalia; Primates; Hominidae.